UGGUCUCAGCAGUGCUGGGUACAGGGGGACGGUCACUGCCCUGCUCCUGCUGGCCACACCUGGCUGAGCCAGGCCAGCAUGCCAUCGGCCUUCUGGGCCACCUGGGCACACUCUGGAUCGUGUUCAGCUGCUGUUGUCCAAUAACUCCAGUUCCUUUUCUGCCUGACAACUUCCCAGUCACUCUUACCCAAGUCUCUAACUUGGGGAAACUUGAGACUUACUCAUCUGGUGGUUUUGAUUCCAUUCCCCUUCACAAGAAAUUACUGCCAGAUGGUAUUUCACCAACCUCAAUCCAUCUCACAUCAACCUCUUCCAUUUUAAAGCUUACCAUCCAUUCCUUCUCCCUUUCUGUUCCUACAAGUUCUUUAGCGAUUGCCACACUAGCCAGAGGCUCCUUAAACAGAUGUGUGUUCUCCUCAAGUUUCCCAUCCUCCUUAUCUGCCUCUUCUAAUUGCCUAAAUAUUGACUUUGUUAAUGGGCAAUGAAGUAAAUGAGAAGACAUGUCUUCAGAUGCAACAUUCUAUUGUAGUUAAAACAUUUCUCCAUGGAAAUGAAAAUUAACAAUAGUAGUCAAAAUGUUAAACUGACCUAGCACUUGAAUUUUUAGUUUUGAUUCUUUACUAGUAGUGGAGAAAAACACACAUGAAAUACUUAAAUGAUGUAUUUUACUUAAAUCCCUUUCUUUUUUCCUUUAACAGGACACUUGGGAACCUUUCGCAUUUCUUGAUAAUUUCUGUUCUACAAGUAUUAGAAAAGUACGAAUGGUAUAAUAUUUACUGCAUACGUUUUAGAAGAAUGCAACACUUUUCUCCCACACUGCUAACAGGAUCAAGUACUUCCAGGGAAAACAGCAAGACGGCUCUGGCGAAACAUAUUUUCUCUGUGUGUGAGCAUUUGCAGAACUGCAGUCUAAGAAACAACACUCCCCUGCUUGAGAAUGCAGCUAUAAAGAGGAAAAGAGAGAGAAGAGAAGAGAAGAGAAGAGAAGAGAAG
This is a long non-coding RNA of Zonotrichia albicollis (white-throated sparrow), 993 nucleotides long. RefSeq lists it as uncharacterized. Lineage: Eukaryota; Metazoa; Chordata; Aves; Passeriformes; Passerellidae. The record is from RefSeq and is a predicted model, not a curated record.